RNAcentral lists this ribosomal RNA (498 nucleotides) under uncultured bacterium. RNAcentral's name for it is "partial 16S ribosomal RNA". It matches the Rfam family "Bacterial small subunit ribosomal RNA", at positions 29 to 523 of the family's 1533-position model. The record is from RNAcentral.
AUUGAACGCUGGCGGCAUGCCUUACACAUGCAAGUCGAACGGUAACAGGUCUUCGGAUGCUGACGAGUGGCGAACGGGUGAGUAAUACAUCGGAACGUGCCCGAUCGUGGGGGAUAACGAAGCGAAAGCUUUGCUAAUACCGCAUAAGAUCUACGGAUGAAAGCAGGGGACCGCAAGGCCUUGCGCGAACGGAGCGGCCGAUGGCAGAUUAGGUAGUUGGGUGGAAAAAAGCUUACCAAGCCGACGAUCUGUAGCUGGUCUGAGAGGACGGGCAGCAACACUGGGGCGUGAACAGGGCCAAUGCGCGUACGGGAGGCAGGAGGGGGGAAUUUUGUACAAUGGGCGAAAGCCUGAUACAGCCAUGCCGCGUGAAGGAUGAAGGCCUUCGGGUUGUAAACUGCUUUUGUACGGAACGAAAAGACUCUUUCUAAUAAAGAGGGUCCAUGACGGUACCGUAAGAAUAAGCGCCGGCUAACUACGUGCCAGCCGCCGCCGUAA